RNAcentral lists this ribosomal RNA (1300 nucleotides) under Staphylococcus pseudintermedius. RNAcentral describes it as "partial 23S ribosomal RNA". It matches the Rfam family "Bacterial large subunit ribosomal RNA", at positions 1471 to 2770 of the family's 2925-position model. The record is from RNAcentral. Lineage: Bacteria; Bacillati; Bacillota; Bacilli; Caryophanales; Staphylococcaceae.
GACGCAGUAGGAUAGGCGAAGCGUGCUGUUGGAGUGCACGUCCAAGCAGUGAGAUUGAGUGUUAGGCAAAUCCGGCACUCUUAAGAUUGAGCUGUGAUGGGGAGAGGAACUUGUUCCUCGAGUCGUUGAUUUCACACUGCCGAGAAAAGCCUCUAGCUAGAAUAACGGUGCCCGUACCGCAAACCGACACAGGUAGUCAAGAUGAGAAUUCUAAGGUGAGCGAGCGAACUCUCGUUAAGGAACUCGGCAAAAUGACCCCGUAACUUCGGGAGAAGGGGUGCUCUUUGAGGUUCACGCUUCGAAGAGCCGCAGUGAAUAGGCCCAAGCGACUGUUUAUCAAAAACACAGGUCUCUGCUAAACCGUAAGGUGACGUAUAGGGGCUGACGCCUGCCCGGUGCUGGAAGGUUAAGAGGAGUGGUUAGCGCAAGCGAAGCUACGAAUCGAAGCCCCAGUAAACGGCGGCCGUAACUAUAACGGUCCUAAGGUAGCGAAAUUCCUUGUCGGGUAAGUUCCGACCCGCACGAAAGGCGUAACGAUUUGGGCACUGUCUCAACGAGAGACUCGGUGAAAUCAUAGUACCGGUGAAGAUGCCGGUUACCCGCGACAGGACGGAAAGACCCCGUGGAGCUUUACUGUAGCCUGAUAUUGAAAUUCGGUACAGUUUGUACAGGAUAGGUAGGAGCCUUAGAAGCGUGAGCGCUAGCUUACGUGGAGGCAUUGGUGGGAUACUACCCUAAUUGUAUUGGAUUUCUAACCCGCAGCACUUAUCGUGCUGGGAGACAGUGUCAGGCGGGCAGUUUGACUGGGGCGGUCGCCUCCUAAAGAGUAACGGAGGCGCUCAAAGGUUCCCUCAGAAUGGUUGGAAAUCAUUCAUAGAGUGUAAAGGCAUAAGGGAGCUUGACUGCGAGACCUACAAGUCGAGCAGGGUCGAAAGACGGACUUAGUGAUCCGGUGGUUCCGCAUGGAAGGGCCAUCGCUCAACGGAUAAAAGCUACCCCGGGGAUAACAGGCUUAUCUCCCCCAAGAGUUCACAUCGACGGGGAGGUUUGGCACCUCGAUGUCGGCUCAUCGCAUCCUGGGGCUGUAGUCGGUCCCAAGGGUUGGGCUGUUCGCCCAUUAAAGCGGUACGCGAGCUGGGUUCAGAACGUCGUGAGACAGUUCGGUCCCUAUCCGUCGUGGGCGUAGGAAAUUUGAGAGGAGCUGUCCUUAGUACGAGAGGACCGGGAUGGACAUACCUCUGGUGUACCAGUUGUCGUGCCAACGGCAUAGCUGGGUAGCUAUGUAUGGACGGGAUAAGUG